GUGCCAGCCGCCGCGGUAAUACGGAGGGUGCAAGCGUUAUUCGGAUUUAUUGGGCGUAAAGGGCGUGUAGGUGGUCUGAUAAGUCAGGUGUGAAAGCCCCUGGCUCAACCAGGGAAGUGCAUUUGAAACUAUCAGACUUGAGUACGGGAGGGGGAAGUGGAAUUCCUGGUGUAGAGGUGAAAUUCGUAGAUAUCAGGAGGAAUACCGGUGGCGAAGGCGACUUCCUGGACCGAUACUGACACUGAGACGCGAAAGCGUGGGGAGCAAACAGGAUUAGAUACCCUGGUAGUCCACGCCGUAAACGAUGGGCACUAGGUGUAGCGGGUAUUGACCCCUGCUGUGCCGAAGCUAACGCAUUAAGUGCCCCGCCUGGGGAGUACGACCGCAAGGUUAAAACUUAAAUGAAUUGACGGGG
RNAcentral lists this ribosomal RNA (415 nucleotides) under uncultured prokaryote. Its description in RNAcentral is "bacterial SSU rRNA". It matches the Rfam family "Bacterial small subunit ribosomal RNA", at positions 505 to 918 of the family's 1533-position model. The record is from RNAcentral.